This is a non-coding RNA of Schistosoma rodhaini, 48 nucleotides long. The record is from Rfam. NCBI's taxonomy places the organism in Eukaryota, Metazoa, Platyhelminthes, Trematoda, Strigeidida, Schistosomatidae.
AUCCAGCUGACGAGUCCCAAAUAGGACAAACUGACGCGCAUCCUGAAU